This 1271-nucleotide ribosomal RNA is filed under the name uncultured archaeon. RNAcentral describes it as "partial 16S ribosomal RNA". It matches the Rfam family "Archaeal small subunit ribosomal RNA", at positions 74 to 1338 of the family's 1478-position model. The record is from RNAcentral.
GAGCGCGGCGCACGGCUCAGUAGUACGCAGCUAACCUACCCUAAGGAGGGGGAUAAUCCCGGGAAACUGGGGCUAAUAUCCCAUAAACCUCGGAGGCUGGAAGGCGCCAAGGUUAAAAAGAUCAUUUCAGCAUGCUGAAAUGGUCGCCUUAGGAUGGGGUUGCGCCCGAUCAGGUAGUUGGCGGGGUAAAGGCCCACCAAGCCUAUGACCGGUGCGGGCUCUGAGAGGAGGAGCCCGGAGAUGGAUCCUGAGACAAGGAUCCAGGCCCUACGGGGCGCAGCAGGCGCGAAACCUUCACAAUGCCCGAAAGGGUGAUGAGGCUACCCCGAGUGCUAUCCGCAGAGGGUAGCUUUUGUCAGGUCUAAAAAGCCUGGCGAAUAAGGGGAGGGCAAGACUGGUGUCAGCCGCCGCGGUAAUACCAGCUCCCCGACUGGUCGGGAUGAUUAUUGGGCCUAAAGCAUCCGUAGCCGGCUUCACAGGUCUCUUGUUAAAUCCAACGGCUCAACCGUUGGACUGCAGGGGAUACCAUGGAGCUAGGGGGCGGGAGAGGCGGACGGUACUCCAUGGGUAGGGGUAAAAUCCUUUGAUCCAUGGAAGACCACCAGUGGCGAAGGCGGUCCGCUAGAACGCGCCCGACGGUGAGGGAUGAAAGCUGGGGGAGCGAACCGGAUUAGAUACCCGGGUAGUCCCAGCCGUAAACGAUGCAGGCUAGGUGAUAGAGAGGCUAUACGCCUUUCUAGUGCCGCAGGGAAGCCGAUAAGCCUGCCGCCUGGGGAGUACGGCCGCAAGACUGAAACUUAAAGGAAUUGGCGGGGGAGCACCACAAGGGGUGAAGCCUGCGGCUCAAUUGGAGUCAGCGCCGGGAACUUUACCGGGGGCGACAGCAGGAUGAGGGCCAAGCUGAUGACUUUGCCCGACGCGCUGAGAGGUGGCGCAUGGCCGUCGCCAGCUCGUGCCGUGAGGUGUCUGGUUAAGUCCAGGAACGAGCGAGACCCUCACCCCUAGUUGCCACCGCGCAAGCGGGCACACUAGGGGGACCGCCACCGCUAAGGUGGAGGAGGGAGGGGGCAACGGCAGGUCAGCAUGCCCCGAAUCCCCCGGGCCGCACGCGGGCUGCAAUGGUGGAGACAAUGGGUUCCGAACCCGAAAGGGGGAGGUAAUCCUUGAAACUCCACCGUAGUUGGGAUCGAGGGCUGCAACCCGCCCUCGUGAACCUGGAAUCCCCAGUAAUCGCGUGUCAUCAUCGCGCGGUGAACACGUCCCCGCUCCUU